GAUGAAGAACGCAGCGAAAUGCGAUAAGUAAUGUGAAUUGCAGAAUUCAGUGAAUCAUCGAAUCUUUGAACGCACAUUGCGCCCCCUGGUAUUCCGGGGGGCAUGCCUGUUCGAGCGUCAUUUCACCACUCAAGCCUCGCUUGGUAUUGGGCAACGCGGUCCGCCGCGUGCCUCAAAUCGACCGGCUGGGUCUUCUGUCCCCUAAGCGUUGUGGAAACUAUUCGCUAAAGGGUGCUCGGGAGGCUACGCCGUAAAACAAACCCAUUUCUAAGGUUGACCUCGGAUCAGGUAGGAAUACCCGCUGAACUUAAGCAUAUCAAUAAGCGGAGGA
RNAcentral lists this unclassified non-coding RNA (331 nucleotides) under soil metagenome. Its description in RNAcentral is "partial contains 5.8S ribosomal RNA, internal transcribed spacer 2, and large subunit ribosomal RNA". The stretch from base 1 to 120 matches the Rfam family "5.8S ribosomal RNA", at positions 35 to 154 of the family's 154-position model. The record is from RNAcentral.